GCAGGGGUAGCAAAGCUUGGCCAAAUGCGCUGGCUUGAGGUGUCAGUCUCUUAGGAGUUCGUGGGUUCAAAUCCCUCCCCCUGCA
This 85-nucleotide transfer RNA is filed under the name Microcaldota archaeon. RNAcentral describes it as "tRNA-Leu". It matches the Rfam family "tRNA". From Rfam's summary of the family: Transfer RNA (tRNA) molecules are approximately 80 nucleotides in length. Their secondary structure includes four short double-helical elements and three loops (D, anti-codon, and T loops). Further hydrogen bonds mediate the characteristic L-shaped molecular structure. tRNAs have two regions of fundamental functional importance: the anti-codon, which is responsible for specific mRNA codon recognition, and the 3' end, to which the tRNAs corresponding amino acid is attached (by aminoacyl-tRNA synthetases). tRNAs cope with the degeneracy of the genetic code in two manners: having more than one tRNA (with a specific anti-codon) for a particular amino acid; and 'wobble' base-pairing, i.e. permitting non-standard base-pairing at the 3rd anti-codon position. Lineage: Archaea; Nanobdellati; Microcaldota. The record is from RNAcentral.